RNAcentral lists this ribosomal RNA (497 nucleotides) under uncultured bacterium. Its description in RNAcentral is "partial 16S ribosomal RNA". It matches the Rfam family "Bacterial small subunit ribosomal RNA", at positions 28 to 507 of the family's 1533-position model. The record is from RNAcentral.
GAUGAACGCUGGCGGCGUGCCUAAUACAUGCAAGUCGAGCGAACAGACGAGGAGCUUGCUCCUCUGACGUUAGCGGCGGACGGGUGAGUAACACGUGGAUAACCUACCUAUAAGACUGGGAUAACUUCGGGAAACCGGAGCUAAUACCGGAUAAUAUAUUGAACCGCAUGGUUCAAUAGUGAAAGACGGUUUUGCUGUCACUUAUAGAUGGAUCCGCGCCGCAUUAGCUAGUUGGUAAGGUAACGGCUUACCAAGGCAACGAUGCGUAGCCGACCUGAGAGGGUGAUCGGCCACACUGGAACUGAGACACGGCCCAGACUCCUACGGGAGGCAGCAGUAGGGAAUCUUCCGCAAUGGGCGAAAGCUUGACGGAGCAACGCCGCGUGAGUGAUGAAGGUCUUCGGAGCGUAAAACUCUGUUAUUAGGGAAGAACAAAUGUGUAAGUAACUAUGCACGUCUUGACGGUACCUAAUCAGAAAGCCACGGCUAACUACGUG